UUGACCUCGGAUCAGGUAGGGAUACCCGCUGAACUUAAGCAUAUCAAUAGGCGGGGAGGAAA
RNAcentral lists this ribosomal RNA (62 nucleotides) under Pseudevernia furfuracea. RNAcentral's name for it is "partial 28S ribosomal RNA". RNAcentral also lists the same sequence under 1 other name. The record is from RNAcentral. Lineage: Eukaryota; Fungi; Ascomycota; Lecanoromycetes; Lecanorales; Parmeliaceae.